This 434-nucleotide long non-coding RNA is filed under the name Bos taurus (domestic cattle). Its description in RNAcentral is "long non-coding RNA NONBTAT000655". Lineage: Eukaryota; Metazoa; Chordata; Mammalia; Artiodactyla; Bovidae. The record is from RNAcentral.
AUUAUCAGUUAAAAAAAAAAAAAAAACCAAGGCACAGGCAAAUUUUAAUUUUAAACAAAGAUAUACACAUGUAUGGAUAGAUAUUAAUUUUAUCAAAGAAAUUUAAGCAGACUGUACAUUUCAAAUGUGAUUCAGAUCACAGGUAUCUUUUGGUGUAUCCAUCCAUUGCAUAAAGUGAAGUUGAGUUAUAAAUAAAUUUCUAACUUGAGGUCAGCAUUUUAUUUUUCAAAUAUUUAUAAUAUGUGGUAGAUUUUUCUUCAAAUAAAAAUUGUUAUUAUUUAUAUUGUAGAAGUACUACAUGUAUGCGAUAAAAACAUUUUUUAAGCAAAAGAAUGAUACAAAAUUAAAAGCCUUCUUCCUCUCUUCCUUUACCGCCAUUCCCCAGAGACAGUCGCUAAUGGUUUAUAACUUUAAAUAUUUUAUUUAUACCUCAG